GACGAACGCUGGCGGCGUGCUUAACACAUGCAAGUCGAACGAAGUGGCGAACGGGUGAGUAACGCGUAAUCAACCUGCCCUUCAGAGGGGGACAACAGUUGGAAACGAAUGCUAAUACCGCAUACUGAAGGAGGGGUUUGCGUUGGGUUGGCUAGUUGGAGGGGUAACGGCCCACCAAGGCGAUGAUCAGUCGCCGGGCUGAGAGGAGGAACUGCCACAAGUGGACCUAGGAACGGCUCAGACUCCCAAGGGAGGCAGCAGUUGGGAAACGUCCGAAAUUGAGGAAAGUCCGACGGAGGAAAGGCGCGGGAGAGGUGACGGCCUUCGGGGUGUAAAGGUCGUUUAAGCGGGACGCGUUACCGGAAUAGAAAGCAACGGCUAACUACGUGCCAGCAGCCGCGGUAAUAC
This 408-nucleotide ribosomal RNA is filed under the name uncultured bacterium. RNAcentral describes it as "partial 16S ribosomal RNA". It matches the Rfam family "Bacterial small subunit ribosomal RNA", at positions 28 to 526 of the family's 1533-position model. The record is from RNAcentral.